Molecule: ribosomal RNA, 142 nt
Filed under: uncultured bacterium
Lineage: Bacteria
Description: partial 16S ribosomal RNA
Rfam family: Bacterial small subunit ribosomal RNA
Source: RNAcentral
CAGUGGGGAAUAUUGGACAAUGGGCGAAAGCCUGAUCCAGCAAUGCCGCGUGUGUGAAGAAGGUCUUCGGAUUGUAAAGCACUUUCGACGGGGACGAUGAUGACGGUACCCGUAGAAGAAGCCCCGGCUAACUUCGUGCCAG